RNAcentral lists this ribosomal RNA (253 nucleotides) under uncultured bacterium. RNAcentral's name for it is "partial 16S ribosomal RNA". It matches the Rfam family "Bacterial small subunit ribosomal RNA", at positions 524 to 776 of the family's 1533-position model. The record is from RNAcentral.
UACGUAGGGGGCUAGCGUUGUCCGGAAUCAUUGGGCGUAAAGAGCGUGUAGGCGGUCCGGUAAGUCCGCUGUGAAAGUCGGGGGCUCAACCCUCGAAUGCCGGUGGAUACUGUCGGGCUAGAGUGCGGAAGAGGCGAGUGGAAUUCCUGGUGUAGCGGUGAAAUGCGCAGAUAUCAGGAGGAACACCGAUGGCGAAGGCAGGUCUCUGGGCCAUUACUGACACUGAGAAGCGAAAGCAUGGGGAGCGAACAGG